RNAcentral lists this ribosomal RNA (398 nucleotides) under uncultured bacterium. RNAcentral's name for it is "partial 16S ribosomal RNA". It matches the Rfam family "Bacterial small subunit ribosomal RNA", at positions 523 to 918 of the family's 1533-position model. The record is from RNAcentral.
AUACAGAGGCCAAGAGCGUUGUUCGGAUUUACUGGGCGUAAAGGGCGCGUAGGCGGCAAGGCGUGUCAAGUGUGAAAUCUCCGGGCCCAACCCGGAAAGUGCGCUUGAAACUACCACGCUUUGAGUCCGGGAGGGGGAAUCGGAAUACAGGGUGUAGCGGUGAAAUGCGUUGAUAUCCUGUAGAACACCGGAGGCGAAGGCGGAUUCCUUGAACGGUACUGACGCUGAGGCGCGGAAGUCGGGGGAGCAAACAGGAUUAGAUACCCUGGUAGUCCCGACCUUAAACGGUGCGCACUCGGGGUGGGGCCAUUUCACCGGCCCCGUCCCCAAGCUAACGCGAUAAGUGCGCCGCCUGGGGAGUACGGCCGCAAGGCUAAAACUCAAAGGAAUUGACGGGG